AAGUUGUAACAAGGUUUCCGUAGGUGAACCUGCGGAAGGAUCAUUAACACGUAUCCAACCCCGUGAACCUUUAUUGUGGCACGCCUAUCCGUUAGAAAGUGGCAAUCCCUGGUAAAUCAUCGCCGAACAGUUUUGAUUCAGGGACUUCUGUGUGGGUAGGACAACUGCGCGAGCAAGUGGCCUGUCAUCCCUCUGCUUGUUAGUGUCUGAAAGUGUCACUUGCCCUGUACGGGUGGCGCAAUCACGAUCGCUAGAGGCCAACACGGCCGGCGACCGGGUCAAUGGGCCCUCGGCCCCCUAGAUCACCCCUUUGCAUGAAAACGGGCCUGCGCUUAGUUGUGCGGCCACCAAACUCGAACAACUGUUAACAAUGGAUAUCUUGGUUCUC
RNAcentral lists this unclassified non-coding RNA (388 nucleotides) under fungal sp. Its description in RNAcentral is "partial internal transcribed spacer region". The stretch from base 1 to 46 matches the Rfam family "Eukaryotic small subunit ribosomal RNA", at positions 1786 to 1831 of the family's 1831-position model. Lineage: Eukaryota; Fungi. The record is from RNAcentral.